GAAAGCUUUGCAUCAAUCAUACAUGAAAUAAACAAAUUUUUUGUCUACAGUGAAGGAAACGAUUUAGUUCAAUUGGGUACAAAAAAGAGCGAAUGAUUGCGUACUAAUGCUAAAAAAAAUCAUUGAACUGUAAUUAAUAAAAAUACAACAAAGCUAUUUGUUCUUGUUCUCUUCCCUUCUCCCCCCUAACAAGUUCCAUCUUCUUCCCCAGCAAAGAAUGAAUUAUCAUCGUUCAAGACAAAAAGGAAGAAUAUAAAUCAUAUGGUUAUUGUCGUAGUUUAAUCCCUCCGCAACUCUAGGCGACAAAUUUCUUAGGGGAGCCUCUGCUCUAUUUUCGUUAUAUGUGCUUUUAUACAUCUAUGAUCUACCCUCGCUAAAGGCUUGAGUUGACCUAUCACUUCCAGGUCAGGGAAGAAACCUAAUCUUCUGGUUGUACAUAUUGUUGAGGGCUGCGCAAUUUUCAAAUUUUUCUUACUAAAUGUAAUCAAAUACAAUUAGAUACAAUCAUUACAUUUUGACUACAAGGAUGUCCGAGCAAGAAAAUCAUUAACAGCCAGACUAGCAUCUCCAUGGGACACAGCAUCCUCUGGUUCUGGAAUAUAAAGACUAGAAGAUGAAGCCUUUGUAUCCAGCUGCAUCUCUCCAUUACUGUCUGAAGUGAGGCAUGCACCAUGUGCUCUCAACCACUCUACACAUUCCUCUAAUCCAACCGAGUCCUGGUCAUUUCUUUCACUUGUGCUGGAGAAGCCCAAAACCUGUGCAAUGUAUGAAACAGGUACAGUAGGGCGAUAUGACCGGGAUAUGCAGCUUACAGCCUUAUAGCGCAUCUUUUCAACACAGAGAUCCAUGAGGCAUAUGUUCAAGUUAGGAGCUGUCUUGUAAAGUCUGAAGAACAUAACAUAGUUUCCUGAGGUGACAGCUGCACGUACUGCAAGAGCAUGUUUAACAGCUUUAUUCUUCUUUGCUUCCUCUGUUAAUCUGGCAACUCAAACAGCAAAUUCAAAUUAUUUUAAGCACCAAUCAAUGGAGGGGGAACAGAUCUGCUUCUAUAAAUCUAGAAUCAACACAUGAUAAUCAACUGUUGCAUGCAUUAAUAAAUAUAAACAACAACAUAAAAUGAGAUAGAGAGAGAGAUGUAUGCACUACGUACACAAAGGACAAUUCUAAGAGAGAUGCAGUUUGGAUAAAAUUUAAACUAUUAUUCCAAAUCUUAGAAUAGUAUAUCCACAUAAACACUUGUACAGCUCUGUUUAAUUAACUACCAUUGCUCAAAUUUUAUUUGAGUUUGCAUUCAGAUGUAUUCUGAUGACUGAAUUUACAUCUGUAAUAACAGAAUCAGAACAAUAUCUGGCACAUUAACUAUUAGAAUUUCCCUUUCUUUCAUCACCUCUUUCCUGACAUUUCAAUGGUUUAAAAACUAGUUGACACCUUACCGAAUCUUUUCAUGAUACAGAAAAUUUUAGGAGUUCAACACAGCUGGCAAUUAUUAAAA
Molecule: unclassified non-coding RNA, 1492 nt
Filed under: Hevea brasiliensis (rubber tree)
Lineage: Eukaryota; Viridiplantae; Streptophyta; Magnoliopsida; Malpighiales; Euphorbiaceae
Source: RNAcentral